This 256-nucleotide ribosomal RNA is filed under the name uncultured prokaryote. RNAcentral's name for it is "partial 16S ribosomal RNA". It matches the Rfam family "Bacterial small subunit ribosomal RNA", at positions 521 to 776 of the family's 1533-position model. The record is from RNAcentral.
UAAUACGGAGGGGGCAAGCGUUAUUCGGAAUCAUUGGGCGUAAAGGGCGCGUAGGCGGCUUGGCAAGUCAAAGGUGAAAUCCCUCGGCCCAACCGAGGAACCGCCUUUGAAACUGCUUCGCUUGAGGCCGGGAGAGGGUAGCGGAAUUCCCAGUGUAGCGGUGAAAUGCGUAGAUAUUGGGAGGAACACCAGUGGCGAAGGCGGCUACCUGGACCGGUUCUGACGCUGAGGCGCGAAAGCGUGGGGAGCAAACAGG